ACAUAGUUGGUGGCUCCACCCAGCCCAGCACACUGAGAACCUGGUGUCCACGGCUUCACGGCAAAGGGAAAAUCAGGGCAUGUAUUUCCUUGCAGAUGUUCUUUGAGUCUCUUUGGGCUCAUGACGGAAGGCACAGAAGCAGAUGAUGACAGAAGGCGCUCUGUGUGGAGGGGAGGAUGCGGCCAAAACGUGCUUCGGUUCCUGGGGUUCGGCACUGAUGCUUGACCAAGUUCUAAAGAAGAUGUGGAAACUGAGGCCCAGAGUGAUGAAGAACGGGCCCAAAUUCACACAGGAAGAAACAAGCCAUUGCCUCUUCCCCGUCACACAGCACCUGCUGUCUUGGGAGAUGAGUCUGAAAUGCUAUGGAUGAAAAGAGAGCAUGGAGAAACUGCCAAAGACCUGCCGACAGUGCAUAUUCAUUUGUUCUUUCAUUAAAAAAUGUUUACG
This 447-nucleotide long non-coding RNA is filed under the name Sus scrofa (pig). Its description in RNAcentral is "lncRNA (ENSSSCG00050074391.1)". Lineage: Eukaryota; Metazoa; Chordata; Mammalia; Artiodactyla; Suidae. The record is from RNAcentral.